GGCCUAAUGGUCCUUCUCUGGUAGCUACAUGCAUUGACCAGGGGAUCUAUAAUUGGGCGCAGAAUCAGUUUUCACGCUUCGAUAGGAACCUGAGAUUCAUUCCAGUUAGUCCACGGAGCCUAUUUCUGUGAUUAAAUUG
Non-coding RNA from Hordeum vulgare subsp. vulgare (domesticated barley), 139 nucleotides. NCBI's taxonomy places the organism in Eukaryota, Viridiplantae, Streptophyta, Magnoliopsida, Poales, Poaceae. The record is from Rfam.